AGAGUUUGAUCCUGGCUCAGAAUGAACGCUGGCGGCAUGGCUAAGACAUGCAAGUCGAACGGACUAUUUUGAAGAGUAAUCGGAUUAAUAGUUAGUGGCGAAAGGGUGAGGAAUGGAUAGGUAACGUACCUCGGGCUCCGGAAUAGCUCAUCGAAAGGUGGGGUAAUGCCGGAUGAUGUCCUGUGUUUAAUUCACGGGACCAAAGAUUUAUCGGCCCCUGAGCGGCCUAUUCCCUAUCAGCUUGUUGGUGAGGUAACGGCUCACCAAGGCUACGACGGGUAGCGGGACUGAGAGGUUGACCCGCCACAUCGGAACUGAGACACUGUCCGGACCUCCACGGAGGGCUGCAGUAACGAAUAUUGGGCAAUGGGCGAAAGCCUGACCCAGCAAUGCCGCGUGUAGGAUGAAGCUUUUCGGAGUGUAAACUACUUUCAGGGAUUAGAAAGCUACGGUUGAUCAAUCCCAGAAGAAGUCACGGCUAACUUCGUGCCAGCAGCCGCGGUAAUACGAAGGUGGCAAGCGUUAUUCGAAAUCACUGGGCUUAAAGGGCGCGUAGGCGGAUAUGUAAGUGUUAGGUGAAAUCCCUCGGCUUAACCGAGGAAUUGCUUAGCAAACUGCAUAUCUUGAGUCAAGUAGGGGUGUGUGGAACUCUUGGUGGAGCGGUGGAAUGCGUAGAUAUCAAGAGGAACGCCGAAGGUGAAGACAGCACACUGGACUUGUACUGACGCUGAGGCGCGAAAGCGUGGGGAGCGAACAGGAUUAGAUACCCUGGUAGUCCACGCCGUAAACGAUGUAUACUAGGUCGCGGAGGUUCUGACACCGUCGCGGUCGUAGCAAAAGUGUUAAGUAUACCGCCUGGGGAGUACGGUCGCAAGGCUAAAACUUAAAGGAAUUGAUGG
Molecule: ribosomal RNA, 899 nt
Filed under: uncultured bacterium
Lineage: Bacteria
Description: bacterial SSU rRNA
Rfam family: Bacterial small subunit ribosomal RNA
Source: RNAcentral